UGCAUUUUGGGCAUUUUCUUAUUGUUAGAAGAGGCUUACUUUUGCUCUAUUCACAAAUAUUUAAAUUUUUGCAGAGUGGUGAAGUUGAGAGAGUGAUGGGACAUGGGUGACAACUGGAUUAGAACAAGUACGUCAGGAAUUGUGUCCAAGACUAUUCCUAGCAGCUGCCCCUCUCUGAUCACCAACCAUGAAGAUCCAAUCUGGGCUAUAUUUCAGGACUGAUGACCUUUCAAUAUUUCCUAUGUAUCUGGAAUACAAACUGCU
Molecule: long non-coding RNA, 264 nt
Filed under: Numida meleagris (helmeted guineafowl)
Lineage: Eukaryota; Metazoa; Chordata; Aves; Galliformes; Numididae
Description: lncRNA (ENSNMEG00000000370.1)
Source: RNAcentral